This 716-nucleotide non-coding RNA is filed under the name Pongo abelii (Sumatran orangutan). The record is from RNAcentral. Lineage: Eukaryota; Metazoa; Chordata; Mammalia; Primates; Hominidae.
UCUCCCUUCCUUCCUUCUUAAUAUGUUUUUGGCCUUUUCUUUAUAUAUGUGGCCUAUCAAUAUCAUGUGUUUGGAAAAGCAUAAACUUAAGGCAUCACCUUUACAGAAAAUAUCUUCCAUGGAAACAUCUAAAGGCAAAAAUCCUUCAAAUUCAAAUUUAUCCAAUCAUUUCUUCUGCUUACUACCAUCCUAAAUCAUUUUUCUUUAGUAAGAUCUAUUAGUGUGAAGCUAUUAAGCUAUUAAUGUAAGUAUCAUAUUAAUGUAUUAAGAUAUUAAGUGAGGAAGUAAAGUUGCAUUCAUAGGCCUUGAACUUUUCCACAUCUCGAUUUUUACCCAUCAUCUCUGCAUAUUUUCCUAAGGCAGCCUUCAAAUGGUGAUGUUUCCUGUCAUCCAGAGUUCAGAAGUGCCUUCUCUUCAACCUUUCUGUGGAAUUCUAAACCACGUGAUAAAGGAGCUGGUGGUGGGAAGUAAGGGAAGGAGGGGAUGAAGAGGAAUGGGCAGAAGUUUUUGGAGAGGAAUAACCCACUGAGAUUGCCAGGGAAGAUUCAUUUUGACAUUAUUUUCAUGUAUUCAAUGCAAUCAAAAAAGAAUCCACAGCUAACCAUGGGUGUCCAAUCUUUUGCCUUCCCUGGACCACAUUGGAAGAAUUGUCUUCGACCACACAUAAAAUACACUAACACUAACAAUAGCUAAUGAGCUUUAAAAAAAUCACAGAA